RNAcentral lists this long non-coding RNA (3019 nucleotides) under Androctonus crassicauda. Lineage: Eukaryota; Metazoa; Arthropoda; Arachnida; Scorpiones; Buthidae. The record is from RNAcentral.
GCAAAUAAAUAAUUAAAAGAAAAAAAUGUACGGGGUAAAAAAAAAAAGAAAAAAAUCCGCUUGUCUGUCCUUGAAAGUAGAAGACCGGAAGAAGGAAGCGUCAAAUCGACUUUUUAAAUUUACCUAUUCUGCGCGUGCCAGAAACUUACACCCUAUUUUAAGAACCGUAUACCCGCAAUUCCUCGACCUUGCUUUCAGUUUUGUUUGUUGUUUUGACUCGGUUCGCGAUAAGAAAAUGACGACCGUUUCGGUAAGUCUCUCUAUAAUCAUUUAUUCUCCUCCCACGUUGCGAUAACCAAAUCGGUCUAUCGUCAGAAUAAUUAUUUUAUUCCCCCGUAUGACGAGUUAUAAAGAUUUCUGCGUAACGAAGGAUUAGCUUAUUUAAUUAGAGGUUUUACACCGAAAAUAAUCAGUAUAUUAUAUUAGUUUCCUAAAUCCCCAAUACUAAUGAGUAUCAUCCGUCAUACGUAAGCCACUCUCCUCAUAAAUUCUCCUCUCAUCGGUAAAAUUGAUGACGAUAAAAUGGAAAGCAUCCCUCUCUAACAUCUGCUCCUUCUUUAACGUGCAUAAUCCUCUCUCUCUCUUCCUACGCUGAAACAGCUUGUGUUAAUUAGAAUAUAUAUAUAAUAGUAAUAUUAUUACAGACUUUAUGUAAUAGUUACAUUCUUCUGAUCAGAUGAUGCUAGUUUUCAUGGUUGCAGUUCAAAUUCUGACAAUUGAUUUAACCUAGUUUUAUGGCGUUGACCGUAGGUGAGUCUGGACUAGAAGGCGCCGAUUCGUCUACAUUUUUACUGUUGUUGCUAUAGAGAUGAAGGUAGUGUGUAUAGGAAACACCAAUGAAUAUUAAACACUACCUUUUUUUUUUAUUUUUUUAAUCCAUGAGAUAUUAAUGCUCGAUGUUAAAUUAUAGCGAUGAAUCGAUUAAAACGUUAGCCAACCAUGAGGCACACAAAACGAAUUUUUGCAAACCUUUAAAACAAAAAAAAAAAAAAAUCGUUAUGCCUGGCGAUAAAAUUUUGUCAACCUCCGAGUGUCGUUUUUACUGAUCGAAUAUUCGUUGUCAUAAUUUUAGUUCGUAAUCAGUCAACACACACGACUGGGAGUGAUUUAGCAGUCUCUCUGACUCACGGCCAAUCUGGUUAAAUGUGUAACUGGGGGGGGGAAAAAAAAGUGAUUCAAAAUUAGUCUCUGCAUCUUUCUUCUUCGUCUUUCUUUCUUUUUUAUAUCUGUAAAACGACUUUUAAAAUAAAUAAAUAAAAAAAAGUUUGUCAAAAGAGAGAUUGUCGUUGGAAGAAGGAGAGGAGAGAAUAUGGAAGAGGGCAAGCGAUUUUAUUCUAUUCGUGUCAUUGGCUGUCGGGGGAAUUAAGAUAGGGGGACCGGCUGUUCAAUUUUCCCCGAUUUUCUCUCACGUGACUCAUAGCGGAUCUAUUGUCGCAUGUUUGUUGGUCAUGUCUGCAUGUUGGCCAGUCACGUGGUAGUGUAUUGCGUCGAUGGAGAUGCGCAUAAGUUCAUUAUUGUAACAUUUACUCAACCGGUUGUGUGAAUAUGGUGUGAGUGCAUUUGCUUAUAACAAUGGAAGAAAAGGGAAGAAGAUCUCGUAGGGAUGUAUUGGUGGGUAGCUCUCUUUUAAUCUAAACACAAUGCGUAUUAUUUGAUGCAAAGACUUUUUUUUUUUAACGUACUCGAGUCUAAAAAUUGCAUCGAGAGAUCAUUUAUUUUGACGUGUGUAUAUAGAGCGCGACCAAACAGCUAAACCGUUUAAAUCUCUAUUUUUAUUUAUUUACUUAUUUAUUUAUUUAUUUUUAAUGUUCUUAGAAUUCGAAUAUUCAUAAACGCGUCGACGGUAUGGUUUCCAUGGAGAUGAAACACUGGGGUGUGGUUGCAUUUGUGCCAUUAAAAAAAAACAAUAAUAAAAGUUUGCUAGAAAACCUUAGAACGGGAAUUUCCAUCAAGAAUUACUUUGUUGUAUCAAACGACUCGUAUGUAAAAACGUCCUUAAUUCCGCUUUAAAGGAUGUUUUUUAUUAAUUUUUAUUGUUUAAAAAUUGAUUUUAUCAUCUUUUAAGUAAGAAUUAUCGCCCUUUUCAAAACUUAAGUGAUUAUUUAUGGCAAUAAAUUAUUUUUUUUUUUUGUAGGUGUAUUCCCAUUUUAAACGAGUACUUUUCCUAUCCGUAAAUGGAGGCUUUAACACGCAUAAUAAUCUAUCGUUUUUAACAAAAAUCGGAACUCGAGUGCAUCUUAACUUUACUUAAUUAAUAAUUUUUUUAUAAUCUAAAACUCUAAUAAAUAAAAUAUCUGUGUUUGUGAUCAUAGAGACUGAUUAAGGUAUCUAAAAAACAAGAAAGUGUAGAACUGAAAACCUUUUAUCUUACAGUAGAAUCCUUAUACGAAGAAAAUGCUUGUUAGAAAGAGAUUCCAAAGAGGAUUAUUUUAAUCUUAAAAAAAAAAAAAAUUAGUUUGUCCUUCCGUAGUUGAACUUUCUCCCGUAGUAUUGUUGUCUCCGAAUUAAGCUCUUAAGUAGAAAAAAAAAUCUUGCUUGGAGAUUGAUGAAAAAGGAUUUUUAGAGCCUUACAGUGAAGAAAAUCUAGUAGUAAAUGAUCCUCAUCCUCGGAAAAGAUAGACUCUCCUGUAAUGCCCACCGAAAGUUUAUAGCAUUUUUUAAAAAAUAAGAAUUGUAAGAAGUACAACCAAAAAAAUAUUUUCCUUUUUAAUAAAAGAUUCUUUAUGAAAUUAACAUUAAAAUCCACUUAGUAAUAAUGAAAAAUGCUUCUGGUGACCUUAGGAAAAAAUUUUUUAGAAGGAUAGUUUAGAGGAUUAUUUUGUUUAAGGCAUUUUAGAAAUAUUCUUUCGUAUCUGGAAUUAUAAAAAAUUAUUCUCUUAAUCGAUUGAAAUUCUAGAAAUUUUACUUAUGAUAGAUUAUAAAGGAUUAAUUUUAUUAAAAAAAAUUAAUUAGUUAAUUCUCAUUAAAAAAAAGUUCACUUAAAAUUGAAGAUUUUCGUAAUUUUUACACGAUUUCUACG